Molecule: non-coding RNA, 326 nt
Organism: Castor canadensis (American beaver)
Lineage: Eukaryota; Metazoa; Chordata; Mammalia; Rodentia; Castoridae
Source: RefSeq, a predicted model, not a curated record
UGAAAGGAGAUGCAAUCCUUACAUUUUUACCUCUGUCAUUUUGGGGAGAGAAGAAAAAUAUUACAAAAAAAUUUAAGAUAAAUGGAUCUACAAACUUCUCUUUCAAUGAUGAAGAGAUGAAAAAGGUAAUGGAUUUUUCAGAUGGGCAUUCUGAACACAUGGAUUUGUCUAUCCCUGGGCCAAUAGAAAUUGUAGCCACAGUGACAGAAUCACUUACAGGUAUCUCGAGAAAUGCAAGUGCCAAUGUGUUUUUCAAGCAGCAUGAUUACAUCAUUGAAUUUUUUGAUUAUGCUACUGUCUUGAAGCCAUCUCUAAACUUCACAGCC